Molecule: long non-coding RNA, 1216 nt
Filed under: Oreochromis niloticus (Nile tilapia)
Lineage: Eukaryota; Metazoa; Chordata; Actinopteri; Cichliformes; Cichlidae
Description: lncRNA (ENSONIG00000033101.1)
Source: RNAcentral
GAAAAUAAUUAAGUUAUAGACUGUAUUUAUAUGAAAUGUGUAUACAUAUUGCAUUUGAAUCAUUUUAACCACAUGUAACACCUGCAUGUUUUUGUUGUUGUUGUUGUUGUUUUGAAAAAAGGCUUUGAUUUUGCCACCCCAUUUGAUUUCCAUGCAACCCUGAGAAAAUGUCUGUAGAUCCACCCCUGCACAUGCUACUGUGGACAGACCCCCAUGGUCAGCAGUGGGUGGGUUAUACCCUUGUGAAACACUGUUAAAUGUUGUGAAAGUCUGUUGGGUGGGCUCAGUUAUUCAUAACACCUAUCAUAGCUUAAUGUGCUCCCCUAUGGUUUUUUUUCUUAUUAUUUAUUAUUUCACAGAAAAAGUGCCAGUGUGUGAAGGGUUGAUGAUUAAAGGAUACACCAGUGGUGCCUGUGGUGACAGGUUCAGGCUGUUGUGUUUGUGCAGCACUAAAAAUACCUUGGCACUGUAAGUGAUUCCAGCUACCUCUUAUCGAAGGAGUUGAAGCUCUUCUGCCUGACUAUACAACACGCCAACACACUGGACAAACAGAUUCGAAAACUCCCUUGGAGCUGCAAUUGAUUUUUUUUUAUUUUUUAUUAACUGGCUUUGAUGACCAAUCAGACGCCAGUAAAGAUGGGCUGGUGCAUAGAGGAGGGUCACUUUCUUUAGGUUAUAUUAAUCCAUCGUUCCCCUGCUCCACUCAGAAGGACAGAGACUCAGGAUGGCCCGGCCUCUGCAGCUCAUUAUCGUGGUCUCCUCCUUAAUAGCUGCCUCUCUGUGUGAUGUCUGUGUGGAAGCUGUUUUAGGAAGACAGUUCACAUUUCCAGAAAACUGCAGCAAUGAUGGAGGAAAACUGUUUCGGUGUGAGCCGCAUGGGGAGGUGGAGGUGGCUGUUCACCAGCAAGUCAACGAGGGAGAAAAGGCCACCUUCCCGUGCUUUUAUCAACCUACCUGCAGCAAGUCUGAGACUGCACAGUGUGUGAAAAACGGGCAGAAUUUCACCAGAGACAAAGGAAACAAGUGUGCUGAUGGCCGACUCUCUCUGUCACCUAAACGAGACUGUUGCCCAAACGUAACACGAGCUGAGAAGCAAGACGGAGGAGAUUAUUUUUGUUACAUCCAGUGUGGAGGGAAACGGUUCGCAGCUGUUGUGAGGCUAAAGGUCAACGGGGCAUCCACUUCACCGCCUGCGUCUAAACCACAACAAGCCUGA